Podarcis muralis (Common wall lizard) is the source of this 1661-nucleotide non-coding RNA. The record is from RefSeq and is a predicted model, not a curated record. Lineage: Eukaryota; Metazoa; Chordata; Lepidosauria; Squamata; Lacertidae.
GACCAAACUCUUAUAAUUUAAGUUGGGGGGUCGUCUUAUACGCCCAGUCGCCUAAUGCGCCGGAACAUACGGUAUGUCCUGGUUUGUGACCCUUGUCAGUAACUGCCUGAACCAUCCUCAUCUGCUCUAAUCCAGGUUUAUGGUGCUGAAGGGGAAGCCAGGGGGUUGCUGUGGGUCUCCUAAUAGCUAAAUAAUAUCGUAGUAAUCUUGUACUCACAACAUAUUAGUAGUGUCAGAAAACAAGAGCCAGUAUUUUCAGAUGAUGGUGGGCAUCCUUGCACUGCUGCUGUUCCUAUUAUGCCUACUCCUAAUUUAUCACGGAAGAACACUAAGGGGACGCAGCCUCCUGUGACGCAGCGUGAGGCCCCGCCUCCUCCGUACUGGCACAGCACAUGUUCGUUGGCCACCUCACCCCGGAAAGUCCUUCCGAGCGUGGCGCUCGCCCACCUGCUGCUGCUGCUGCCAUUGUGGGAGCUGGAUCCGGCCUCCGCCGUGGCCGCGUGGAGCUUCGCUUGGCUCACGAGCACCAUGAAGAGCCUGUCAUGACGAGGUGGUGCGCGGCUUCGGCCGGGGCUACAAGGAGCUGGGCAUCCCCACAGGUUUACGGUGCUGAAGGGGAGCCAGGGGUUGCCGUCUCCUGUUCCAAAUCUCCAGCCUCUGUCCUGCCCUCUGGGGAUUAUUGGGCUACUGUUUUUGGGAUGUUCCUCGUCUCCUUAAAAAUAUAUAUAUAUAUAUAUCCUUCACUGAUACGAUGUAGCUGAUUUUUCACCUUUGUUGUUUCCAAGCUGUUUUAUUAUUGUAAGAGAGGUAGAAUAAGAAAUAUUGAAUGAACGGGUGAUUUUAUAAAGCAUUCAGAUUUCUUGCCAGAGCUUCGUCUUUUGUUAUGUUUUCUUCAAAUUCACAAAAGGUGUGAACAUGCUUUCCUGACAUUGACAUAAUGCUCAUUGGCUUCUCUGGAACUUAAGCACAUGUUUACAUGCUUUUGAGAUUCAAGACUUUGCUCUCGCAUCAGACCCACAAUAUAGUUCUAGGAGCUCAGUGUCCAGGCUGAACAAUGGGGGUGGGGAGCAUGGUUGCAGGAUUUUUUCUAUAGAAGAUACAUUGUCCCAAAAUUUGUGGUGGUGAUUUAGCUCUCAUAGUGCAUCAAAUGUUAUUUGAUCCCAUUUCCCCAAACUACCUACGUUUCCUUUUGUAGCAUCAGUUAUGUAAUUCCUACUGGCAUGGGAGGAAGGGGAGUGGGUGAAUUCACGACUUGAGGCAGCCAAUACUUAGCCAAUGGCUGAUUUUAGUUUCUUUCUUUCUGUAAAUAAUGUAUAAAUGAUGACACAGCAGUGUGGAAAUUUUAAAAAGUUGGGUUUUUAAAGAUUUUUUUAUUAUUACCUCAUUCAGCAAAUUUGUUUUACAAUGACUCCAUGAAACUUUAUUUAUAUUGUUUGUAUGAUUAUUAAACAUAUUGAUACAUUUCACUUUGCUUGUUGUUUCAUAUGAUCUUGUUCGAUUAAAUAUCAAUUUGUAUUAUGUUUCCCUCUCGCUUUCUCCAUCCCUUUUUAGUGUGUCAGCUGUACAGUAUUCUGAAUUUUAAAAAUGUUGUAAAGUAAUGCAAAGAGAGAGACUGCUACAUUGGAUAUGUCUCUUUCUAAUAAAUAUAAGAAAAUACCCUU